Molecule: ribosomal RNA, 2933 nt
Filed under: Escherichia coli
Lineage: Bacteria; Pseudomonadati; Pseudomonadota; Gammaproteobacteria; Enterobacterales; Enterobacteriaceae
Description: 23S ribosomal RNA
Rfam family: Bacterial large subunit ribosomal RNA
Source: RNAcentral
GGGUUGUGAGGUUAAGCGACUAAGCGUACACGGUGGAUGCCCUGGCAGUCAGAGGCGAUGAAGGACGUGCUAAUCUGCGAUAAGCGUCGGUAAGGUGAUAUGAACCGUUAUAACCGGCGAUUUCCGAAUGGGGAAACCCAGUGUGUUUCGACACACUAUCAUUAACUGAAUCCAUAGGUUAAUGAGGCGAACCGGGGGAACUGAAACAUCUAAGUACCCCGAGGAAAAGAAAUCAACCGAGAUUCCCCCAGUAGCGGCGAGCGAACGGGGAGCAGCCCAGAGCCUGAAUCAGUGUGUGUGUUAGUGGAAGCGUCUGGAAAGGCGCGCGAUACAGGGUGACAGCCCCGUACACAAAAAUGCACAUGCUGUGAGCUCGAUGAGUAGGGCGGGACACGUGGUAUCCUGUCUGAAUAUGGGGGGACCAUCCUCCAAGGCUAAAUACUCCUGACUGACCGAUAGUGAACCAGUACCGUGAGGGAAAGGCGAAAAGAACCCCGGCGAGGGGAGUGAAAAAGAACCUGAAACCGUGUACGUACAAGCAGUGGGAGCACAGAGCAAUCUGUGUGACUGCGUACCUUUUGUAUAAUGGGUCAGCGACUUAUAUUCUGUAGCAAGGUUAACCGAAUAGGGGAGCCGAAGGGAAACCGAGUCUUAACUGGGCGUUAAGUUGCAGGGUAUAGACCCGAAACCCGGUGAUCUAGCCAUGGGCAGGUUGAAGGUUGGGUAACACUAACUGGAGGACCGAACCGACUAAUGUUGAAAAAUUAGCGGAUGACUUGUGGCUGGGGGUGAAAGGCCAAUCAAACCGGGAGAUAGCUGGUUCUCCCCGAAAGCUAUUUAGGUAGCGCCUCGUGAAUUCAUCUCCGGGGGUAGAGCACUGUUUCGGCAAGGGGGUCAUCCCGACUUACCAACCCGAUGCAAACUGCGAAUACCGGAGAAUGUUAUCACGGGAGACACACGGCGGGUGCUAACGUCCGUCGUGAAGAGGGAAACAACCCAGACCGCCAGCUAAGGUCCCAAAGUCAUGGUUAAGUGGGAAACGAUGUGGGAAGGCCCAGACAGCCAGGAUGUUGGCUUAGAAGCAGCCAUCAUUUAAAGAAAGCGUAAUAGCUCACUGGUCGAGUCGGCCUGCGCGGAAGAUGUAACGGGGCUAAACCAUGCACCGAAGCUGCGGCAGCGACGCUUAUGCGUUGUUGGGUAGGGGAGCGUUCUGUAAGCCUGUGAAGGUGUACUGUGAGGUAUGCUGGAGGUAUCAGAAGUGCGAAUGCUGACAUAAGUAACGAUAAAGCGGGUGAAAAGCCCGCUCGCCGGAAGACCAAGGGUUCCUGUCCAACGUUAAUCGGGGCAGGGUGAGUCGACCCCUAAGGCGAGGCCGAAAGGCGUAGUCGAUGGGAAACAGGUUAAUAUUCCUGUACUUGGUGUUACUGCGAAGGGGGGACGGAGAAGGCUAUGUUGGCCGGGCGACGGUUGUCCCGGUUUAAGCGUGUAGGCUGGUUUUCCAGGCAAAUCCGGAAAAUCAAGGCUGAGGCGUGAUGACGAGGCACUACGGUGCUGAAGCAACAAAUGCCCUGCUUCCAGGAAAAGCCUCUAAGCAUCAGGUAACAUCAAAUCGUACCCCAAACCGACACAGGUGGUCAGGUAGAGAAUACCAAGGCGCUUGAGAGAACUCGGGUGAAGGAACUAGGCAAAAUGGUGCCGUAACUUCGGGAGAAGGCACGCUGAUAUGUAGGUGAAGUCCCUCGCGGAUGGAGCUGAAAUCAGUCGAAGAUACCAGCUGGCUGCAACUGUUUAUUAAAAACACAGCACUGUGCAAACACGAAAGUGGACGUAUACGGUGUGACGCCUGCCCGGUGCCGGAAGGUUAAUUGAUGGGGUCAGCGCAAGCGAAGCUCUUGAUCGAAGCCCCGGUAAACGGCGGCCGUAACUAUAACGGUCCUAAGGUAGCGAAAUUCCUUGUCGGGUAAGUUCCGACCUGCACGAAUGGCGUAAUGAUGGCCAGGCUGUCUCCACCCGAGACUCAGUGAAAUUGAACUCGCUGUGAAGAUGCAGUGUACCCGCGGCAAGACGGAAAGACCCCGUGAACCUUUACUAUAGCUUGACACUGAACAUUGAGCCUUGAUGUGUAGGAUAGGUGGGAGGCUUUGAAGUGUGGACGCCAGUCUGCAUGGAGCCGGCCUUGAAAUACCACCCUUUAAUGUUUGAUGUUCUAACGUUGACCCGUGAUCCGGGUUGCGGACAGUGUCUGGUGGGUAGUUUGACUGGGGCGGUCUCCUCCUAAAGAGUAACGGAGGAGCACGAAGGUUGGCUAAUCCUGGUCGGACAUCAGGAGGUUAGUGCAAUGGCAUAAGCCAGCUUGACUGCGAGCGUGACGGCGCGAGCAGGUGCGAAAGCAGGUCAUAGUGAUCCGGUGGUUCUGAAUGGAAGGGCCAUCGCUCAACGGAUAAAAGGUACUCCGGGGAUAACAGGCUGAUACCGCCCAAGAGUUCAUAUCGACGGCGGUGUUUGGCACCUCGAUGUCGGCUCAUCACAUCCUGGGGCUGAAGUAGGUCCCAAGGGUAUGGCUGUUCGCCAUUUAAAGUGGUACGCGAGCUGGGUUUAGAACGUCGUGAGACAGUUCGGUCCCUAUCUGCCGUGGGCGCUGGAGAACUGAGGGGGGCUGCUCCUAGUACGAGAGGACCGGAGUGGACGCAUCACUGGUGUUCGGGUUGUCAUGCCAAUGGCACUGCCCGGUAGCUAAAUGCGGAAGAGAUAAGUGCUGAAAGCAUCUAAGCACGAAACUUGCCCCGAGAUGAGUUCUCCCUGACUCCUUGAGAGUCCUGAAGGAACGUUGAAGACGACGACGUUGAUAGGCCGGGUGUGUAAGCGCAGCGAUGCGUUGAGCUAACCGGUACUAAUGAACCGUGAGGCUUAACCUUACAACGCCGAAGGUGUUU